AAAGUCGUAACAAGGUCUCCGUAGGUGAACCUGCGGAGGGAUCAUCAAAGAAUUUUAUACUUAUCAAGUUGUUUUUCUUCUUUUCGGAGAAAGAGAAACACUUGGUAUACAAACAAACGAUCACAACUAUUGAGGAAACUUACGAGGGGACAAAAGUGUUUGCCUGAUAAAUGAUUGAUUUGGAAAUCUAACAAAUAUAUACAACUUUCAACAACGGAUCUCUUGGCUCUC
This 231-nucleotide unclassified non-coding RNA is filed under the name Basidiomycota sp. RNAcentral's name for it is "partial contains small subunit ribosomal RNA, internal transcribed spacer 1, and 5.8S ribosomal RNA". The stretch from base 1 to 47 matches the Rfam family "Eukaryotic small subunit ribosomal RNA", at positions 1785 to 1831 of the family's 1831-position model. The record is from RNAcentral. Lineage: Eukaryota; Fungi; Basidiomycota.